UACGGAGGAUGCGAGCGUUAUCCGGAUUUAUUGGGUUUAAAGGGUGCGUAGGCGGUUUAUUAAGUUAGUGGUUAAAUAUUUGAGCUAAACCCAAUUGUGCCAUUAAUACUGGUAAACUGGAGUACAGACGAGGUAGGCGGAAUAAGUUAAGUAGCGGUGAAAUGCAUAGAUAUUAGGAGGAACACCAGUGGCGAAGGCGGCUUACUGGACGAUGACUGACGUUGAGGCUCGAAAGCGUGGGGAGCAAACAGG
This 252-nucleotide ribosomal RNA is filed under the name Odoribacter splanchnicus. RNAcentral's name for it is "partial 16S ribosomal RNA". It matches the Rfam family "Bacterial small subunit ribosomal RNA", at positions 524 to 776 of the family's 1533-position model. The record is from RNAcentral. Lineage: Bacteria; Pseudomonadati; Bacteroidota; Bacteroidia; Bacteroidales; Odoribacteraceae.